This is a long non-coding RNA of Ipomoea nil (Japanese morning glory), 362 nucleotides long. RefSeq lists it as uncharacterized. The record is from RefSeq and is a predicted model, not a curated record. The transcript is spliced from 2 exons. Lineage: Eukaryota; Viridiplantae; Streptophyta; Magnoliopsida; Solanales; Convolvulaceae.
CUGGAUGCCCAUGCCUUGAGGUAAUUCAUUUGGAAGGGUGUUGUAGUGAUGGUGUUUUAGAGUCUGCAAAGAAAACUCAAAAUGAUGGAGAUGGCCAGCUCGAGCUCCGCCUAGAAAAUAUUAUUACGAAGCCAGCUUAGCUGAGAUUGAAGAGAACUGAAACAACAAGCAUAGCAUCACAUGUUCUUCUACCACUUUGAAGGUAAGUUUGAUGAGUCCAGCAUCAUAUCAAACCGAAGCAAUCACCCAUACAUAUAUACCUCUUAGCUCCCCUGCUACCUACUCUCCCAAAACAAAUCCUAAGCUCUCUCAAUUUUGUUGUGAUUUAAGGUUAGAAAUUUACAUCUUUGCUUUGGUUUUGC